UGCAUCACUUAAUUACUAAUUUUAGCUUUAUUUAUGUGUACAUUUGUACAUUUCAAUCAGGUUCACGAGAUGUAAAACUUGUUAUCAGAGUAUUUCAUACAGAAGUCGACACACAGUUUUAUGGUUACAAGGACAUGCAAUAAGCUAUGGAAAGUUCAUGAAAAUAUUUUAACAGCAAUUUUUAAUCAAAUAAAUGAGCAUGAGAAAUCAUGUUUGAUUUGUAAAUUCUGUAUACAAGCUACUAUGAAACAUUUUCCAUCACAAAAAAAUAAAAAGAGAUAAAAAUUACUUAAAGGAUCUUGAAAUCUUGCAAUUGGACAAGUGUUCCACUGUGCCUCCAUUCUAAAUCAUGAAAGUGGAAACUGUGCAGAAGGAAGUUUUACUUUUAUUUAAAGUCCAACUGUUAUUGCUGCUUUUCAAAGAACCUGAAAGCAUAUGAUGAAAUCUUAGAACUAAACAAACAGCUGAAUGGAUAUGUUUAGACCAUUACUGCAGUUAAAAUGCAAAAGAGUUAACUACAACGUUUCUCAAAAUGUUGUGGUUUGCUUUUUUUUGUUUCUAUAUGUACAUAGAGAACUGUACACAAACCAGGAAAUAAAAAAGUUGCUAAAAAAAAAUAAAGAUAAUAGUAUACAGUAUUUACAGUUUAAAUGUCACCUUUUUUUUUUUUUGUUAAUUGGAGCUAAACUGUUACAUGAACAUGCAAUACAUCCACAACUCAAAAUUAAUACCUUUUUUGCAGUGUAAUGUAGUCGUUUAAAAAUAUAAAUCAACUAUAUGUUAAAUCAUUCUUCUCCAUCACUGUUCUUGCUAUCUUCGAGUUUCAAAACAAUGCCUAGGUCAUGACCCUUUUACUUAGGAAACUUCAUCAAGUGAAAAUUUGACCAUUUAUUUCUAAUACAAAUUUGCAGAAUGCAUUCUAUUCACAAGACACUUUAUAGAGAUAUUAUCCUGAAUUGUGUAUGAUGUAUUGUGUAUGACGAAAGCCAGUAUUGCAGGGUCCCAAUUUUGUCAGUAGACUAGUAGAUAUUUUUUACCUUUCUCAUUUUUAAAGAUUUUCAAAUUUCCCUCUUCCUCUCCUCCUUAUUUGCUCAGCCAAAUCCAAAUGGUUAUAAUACUGAUUGUAUUUAUAAAGCUUACAGUCCAGUUGUUAUCAAUACAGAUGUCAAAUACUGUAGCCUUUUCCUAACUGUAAAUCAGGUAUCUAUCUAUAGUGCUUUCUGUAAGCAUUUCUGAAGAAUUACAUUCUAUUCCAUAUAUUGCCACAGUCAAAAUUUGAGUUACAUAAAUACCAGAUUAUCCUCUAAAACCUCAAAAUAUUAAGGACCUUCAAAACUUCUUUGCUUGUAUAAAAGCUAAGCACGUUUCAAACUACUAAAAUCUCCAGCCACAUAAUUUUAAGAGGUUUUAGAUUUUUAGCUCUAAAGGCCUCAUCUGUAUACCUUAUACUGACAAAUAAUCCAGAAACAGAUUAUAUAAUGGUGACAUUAAAUACCUGAAUUCAAUUUAGAAAGUUAGAUCUCAAAUCAAAAUGCUAUUUAUAUCAAAUAUGUAUUUUAUUGAAAAUAUCUCUUGAGUAUUUAUGUCGCCUUAGAAUUGUUUGGUGGUUUGGGUUUUUUUUUUCCAAUUCACAGAAGCACAAAAGGACAUACAAUCCAUUCCCUUUAACAGCUGACAAAUCUUACUAGUAUUCACACACUAACUUCCUAAAACAUUCAGUAACUACAAGAUGAACAAUUAGAAGUGAAAAAAAUGUGUAUUCCUGAAAGAAAAUACUUCUUUAGAUCAUUACUCUGGAGUCUAACUGUUUUUACACCUGCUGUACUGGGAUAACACCCUGAACAGUAGCAUCUUUGCAGAUUUAGAGAUAUCUCUGUGAUUAUAUUUAAACUUAAUGCACAAGAUUAUUUCAAGUAUAAGUCUAGGAAACAAGUGUGGGGAACAGCAUGCUGGUAGGACACAAGCUUUCUCACCUACAAGGCAUCCAAUUGGAUGUACUCAGGUUAAUGUCUACCUUCUAUGACAACUUCAUUUGCACGAAGGAACAUGUAGUUAAGCAGACAAACUAAUGCAGCCCAGCUGAAGAUUUCACUGCUGUAAGAGAGCACAGACUAGUUUUCCUGCUGACCUUAAAGGUUGUGGUGGUGACGACCAAGGUAUGACUAAAUAUCUGACUUCUAAUGCAAUACAAAAUUUCAGCUGCAUUGAAUUCACCUGUACACAAAGAACACUUAUUCCUUCUGAAGCAGCAGCUGAGGAUUUAAACAGUCUUUUCACCUUGGGCUGCUCCCAGAAGGUAUUCUGCCAGUGUGCUGAUGCAGUUAUAUGUUAAAUUCUGGUAACUAAAUAAAAUUAUGUAUGUUUUAGCAUUUAUAUAUGUAACACUCCAUUAUAAUUUAUGAAGAACAUUCAGAAUCUUAUUCUAUCUCAAAUUGCUUGGAAUUACAUUAGGAUGCAGUUGUCAUCCUAACAACUAAUCUUCACAUUUUUCUCUGUAAGUGAAAUACAUAUAUGAUGAAAAAGCAUAUUUCUAGAAACAGAAGAGCAACUGAAAAGAAAGAUUCUUGUGUUCACAAUCGUUUUUCUAAGCCUUAUUAGAGUCACAUACUGGGUCUUUUUUGGCCCUGAUUCAUCCACACUUCAUUACACCCAGGAAUACUAUUGUGUCUGCUUAUGUGGAAUUAUACAAAUGCAGUGUUGAAUGGCUGUGUACAAAACCAUACAGCAUAUUAUGCUCAUGAUAUAAUAUUCAGAUUUAAUGAAGGGAAGGCAUUAUUAGAGUAUGCUUAAUGCAUGAAAUGCAUAAAUUAAAACAGGAAAUAACAAUUAAAUCACUUCUUACAGUUAUUAGAGCUCCCGCUCAAAUGACAUUAUAUAUGCCUUUCCCCACAACAGAAAUCAAAUAAAACUUGUAAGCAAAAAAAAAAAAAAUCAAUGUGCAAUAUGUUGAAGUGGGAACAUUAUUGCCAUUAGACCAAUAAAAACAGUGUACUUCAAAACCAGAAAGUUACUUUACACAAAAUCAGGACUACUUUCUUUGGUCCACGUUGAACGUUCAAAACUGGUUAAAUUAUUGGUUCUCUCAAAAAACUGUCAAAAGCAAACUUAAAAUUAUAUUGCUAGGUACACAGAUUAAUUUCAUAAACUCAGAAUUAACCACAAAAUGAAAGACAAUAAUUAUUUGGAAGAUAUUUUUUCCUGCAAUAUAGAUUGGGGUUUUUUUUGGUCUGGAGAAUAAGUCAGGCCAACUGGAGCAGUGACAAAUGUUCCUUAGCUGUCUCCAAAGAUGACAACCAGAAGACCAGCUGUCUCCAAAGAUGACAACCACCUAAAGUGUAUGUAUACCAGUGCCUACGUAUACACAGCCUGGGGUAAAAACAGGAGGAACUGGAGCUCUACAUCUGGACAGGAAGUUAUGAUAUCAUAGGAAUAACUGAAACAUGAAUGCUUACAUGACCUGAGGAUUGUGAUGGAUAGCUAUAGG
Molecule: long non-coding RNA, 3484 nt
Organism: Strigops habroptila (Kakapo)
Lineage: Eukaryota; Metazoa; Chordata; Aves; Psittaciformes; Psittacidae
Source: Ensembl